AAAAUAUUUAACAUUCUGAAAACUCUAAAUGAUCAGUAUGACUGAAUUGCAAAAGAAUUUAGUUCAUGAAUAAAUUGUGUGAUGCAGUUAUUUUGAAUUAAUAACAUGUGCAGCUUUUUAUAAUGAAUAGAUUACAUUUUGUUGUACUGUUUUAUUACCCGCUGACUACGGGUACUAAUCCGUUAGUAUGUACAACAUCCGUUCAAUGUCCAGCCGGUAACUCCUGCAAGGAUGGCACAUGUACACCCUUCACUGGAGUGUACAGAAACAGUUGUAAUAAACCAGCUGACUGUCCACUAGAGUACGAUUGUGAUGUAAAUAUCAACAUGUGCGUAGUAGAAAUCUGCAUACAAGAUGAAGACUGCCCCAACCUGGGCCCUGGAAGCUAUGCAAUAUGUAAUGCUGGACAGUGUGCAGUUGGGAAUGUGCAAAACGCCUCUCAAGACCGUUCUGAGCUUCUUCAGGCAAUCAAAACACUUCUAAAGGGAUAUAUAGAAGAAAAUAAACGUUGAAAAGGAACAAGAAACAAUUGUUUCUUGAAAAAUGAUGCAGAACGGUUUGUUUAAAAACUGUUUGGUUUAAAUAAAAAUAAAUAUCUUCAAUUUAC
Molecule: RNA transcript, 607 nt
Organism: Eurytemora carolleeae
Lineage: Eukaryota; Metazoa; Arthropoda; Copepoda; Calanoida; Temoridae
Exons: 3
Source: RefSeq, a predicted model, not a curated record